UUUCCUUGUGCAUUUUUCCUUGUAUGCAUUUUUCCUGUGUGACACGAGGUAGGUAUGUAGGUGGUGCAGAGCUGGGCCAGCUGCUCAGAAAACCUCUAGUCUCUGCUGUUAAUUCUAGAGUCCCCUUGCCCUUAGCAUCUCUACUGGGCACGGUGGCUUACCUGGUGGUGGGACCCCAACCCUCAUUCCUAAGGGAUCUGAGCCCUCCCUGGUCACCACGGCAUUCUUAGUAUGAGGCCAUGAUGGAUGCACGUGUCCGUUUACCAUCAAAAUUGGACAACUCCUGGGGCCGGCCCCGUGGCCGAGUGGUUAAGUUCGUGCGCUCCACUGCAGGCAGCCCAGUGUUUCGUCAGUUCGAAUCCUGGGCGCGGACAUGGCACUGCUCGUCGAGCCACGCUGAGGUAGCAUCCCAUAUGCCACAACUAGAGGACCCACAACUAAAAAUAUACAACUACGUACCGGGGGGCUUUGGGGAGAAAAAGGAAAAAAAUAAAAUCUUUAAAAUUGGAUGACUCCUCCAUAUACCAAGCUCAGGCUUCUUCCUCCUCUGUCUCCUGGUCAGAGGGGACCCAUCUCCUCCACUGUUCAGCUGUAGGUGUGUAAGCCGAGGGAGGGGCAAACAGGUGGAUGAAAUGGGGGUCUGGGUUGCUUGCUCAUGCAGCAUCUUGUGCCAUCUGGCCCUGCUCUGCUCAACCCCAGAUGUACCACUUCCAUCCUGGCCUGCUGCUGGGCCCACCCAAUCUUAUGACUUGGUUGAUGUGACAGAAUUCAACUCAUUGCGGAUAGUUCUGGCUGCAUGGUCAUUUGCUUUCCCAUGGCCAGGUACUCCAUCCCUACCUGGGCCAAGCAGCAUGCCAGGAGCUGCCGAUGACAUGGCCUGGCUCCAGAACCCAGGGAUCUGAAUUGUGAUUUCGCCGUUGAGAUUUGCCGUAAACUCCACUCAGCAUCUUCUCCCACCACCGAUACCUCUAAUCCACAGGGCCUGCUAGGUUAUAUGGCCCAAGCUUUGGGGCCACUUGCGUUGCAGCCUGGACCUGCUGCAGAGCUCUUUCCUGCUCUAGAUCCCUCUCAAAGGUGGCAGCCUUUCAUUUCACCCAGUAUUUGGAUCCGUGCAGUAUUCCUAGGUUUGGAAUAUGCUGCUUCCAGAACCCAAAGUAGUCUACCGGGCCUGGCCCUUCCUUCUUUGUAGUGGAAGAUGAAAGAUGCAAGAGUUUUCCCCUGACUCUGGAGGGGAUGUUCCAGGAUGUUUCAGAACAUUGGAACCCUACAAAUGUUAUUUAUUUGGCAGGCCCUGCAUCUUUGAAGAGUUUAUCUCACGCCCUCUGGAGGGCCAGUGUCUUAUCAAGGCUUUCACGCUCUAGCCACUUCACCCAGUCCAAUCAGCAUAUGUCAUCGAUAGAGGGACCAGUGUGAUGUUCUGUGGAUGUCCAGCCAGUCCUGGUCUCUUUAGACUAUGUCACAAAAGAGGGCUGAAGAGUUAACAAAGCCCUGGGGCAAGACGUGUGUACUGUUACCCAUUCCACCUGGAUGUGAACUGCCUCUGAUCCUCCUUUUUGGUAGAAAUGUAAAAGAACACAUUAGCCGGAUCAGUGGCUACAGACCACUGACCUGAGACUAAUCUGCUCUCACAGAGACACCACAUCUGGCACAGCAGCUGCAUUGAGGCUCCUGUUUGGUUGAGUUUGCAUCAGUCCGUUGUCAUCCUCCAGGACAUGUCUGAUUUUUGCAGGGGCCAGACUGACGAUCUAAACAAGAUACGAUGGGAACUACCACUUCAGCAUCAUUUAGGUUUUUAAGGGUGGCACUAGUUUCCACCACUCCUCCCGGGACGUGAUAUUGUUCUGAUGGACUCUCUUGGCUGGGUUGGGAGGGGGCUGUUUGAGAGGUUUCCGCUGGCCUUCCUCACUAUGAUAGCUCAUACCCCACAGUCCAAGGGAUCAAUGUGGGAGUCAUGCCAACCACCAAUAUGUCUAUUCCAAACGCUACUGGGGAAAUGACCACAGGCUUGGCCAGUGGACGCACUGCAAGCUGGACUUGGGCCAGGACUUUAUUUCCUGCUCCUGAUAUGGCCCCAAUUUAAAAGAGUCCUUCCAGGGAUCCAGCCUCUCCUUCAGCUGAUGCGUUGGGAAUCCUAACACUGGCUCAGGUCUGGAAACAGAGUGAGAGAUUAUGAUUUUUUUAGAGUCACCAACCACCUGAUCAGGAAAACUAAAUUGUGAAAAGUAUGUAUCUUAGUGUAGAAGAGACACGGGGUCACACAUUUCUGUGUAUAACAUGCGUAGGAAAAAGACUAGAAGGAAACACAGCAGACUAUUAGCCAUCCUUACCUCUCAGAGGCAGUAUUGUGGAUGGUUUUAAUUUUCUUUUCACUUUUCUGUAUUUUCCACAUUUUUGUACUAGAGCAGCUGUACUCUAUAUACACGUAUUUUCUCUCUUCUGCAGAGAGGUUCCAGAAAAUCAUCUUGGCAU
RNAcentral lists this long non-coding RNA (2469 nucleotides) under Equus caballus (horse). RNAcentral's name for it is "lncRNA (ENSECAG00000057836.1)". Lineage: Eukaryota; Metazoa; Chordata; Mammalia; Perissodactyla; Equidae. The record is from RNAcentral.